RNAcentral lists this ribosomal RNA (301 nucleotides) under uncultured bacterium. RNAcentral describes it as "partial 16S ribosomal RNA". It matches the Rfam family "Bacterial small subunit ribosomal RNA", at positions 509 to 807 of the family's 1533-position model. The record is from RNAcentral.
CAGUCGCCGCGGUAAUACGGAGGGUGCAAGCGUUAAUCGGAAUUACUGGGCGUAAAGCGCACGCAGGCGGUCUGUCAAGUCAGAUGUGAAAUCCCCGGGCUUAACCUGGGAACUGCAUUUGAAACUGGCAGGCUAGAGUCUUGUAGAGGGGGGUAGAAUUCCAGGUGUAGCGGUGAAAUGCGUAGAGAUCUGGAGGAAUACCGGUGGCGAAGGCGGCCCCCUGGACAAAGACUGACGCUCAGGUGCGAAAGCGUGGGGAGCAAACAGGAUUAGAGACCCGAGUAGUCCCUGUCUCUUAUAC